Molecule: long non-coding RNA, 529 nt
Filed under: Equus asinus (donkey)
Lineage: Eukaryota; Metazoa; Chordata; Mammalia; Perissodactyla; Equidae
Description: lncRNA (ENSEASG00005031758.1)
Source: RNAcentral
GCAGAAGUGGGCCGUUAUAUACGGCCUCAGCCCGUUCGGGCUGCUGUAACACAGAUCCCACUGACAGCGGGGCUUAUAAAUAAUAGAAAUUUAUUGCUCGCAGUUCUGGAGGCUGGAAAGUCCAAGAUCAAGGUGCCAGCAGAUUGGGAGUCUGCAUGGCUUGCCAAGUGGUGCUAUGUCCACACCCGGGAUCCGAACCCACAAACCCCAGGCUGCCGAAGUGGAAAGUGCGCACUUAACCGCUGCACCACCAGGCCGGCCCCAGGAAUAGUCUGUGCUCACCCUCCUGGGGCGAGCCUGCUGCCAGGGGCUGUGCUCCUCUCAGGGCGAGCUGAGCACCUGCAGUCACCCCAUCGGCCAGAGCAAGUCAGGACCACGCCCACCGCCUGUCGCGCAGGGACGGACUCUCCCUACAGUUGCAAGAACUUCAACGUCACCUGACAAAGUGUGUUGACACAGGGAGGGGUUAGGAACACGGGAGAAUAAACCAAGGAACCACAUCUGUCGUUGCACCGCCUUUAAAUAAAGC